RNAcentral lists this ribosomal RNA (432 nucleotides) under uncultured bacterium. RNAcentral describes it as "partial 16S ribosomal RNA". It matches the Rfam family "Bacterial small subunit ribosomal RNA", at positions 355 to 776 of the family's 1533-position model. The record is from RNAcentral.
UGGGGAAUUUUGGACAAUGGGCGAAAGCCUGAUCCAGCAAUGCCGCGUGUGUGAAGAAGGCCUUCGGGUUGUAAAGCACUUUUGUCCGGAAAGAAAUCCUUGGCUCUAAUACAGUCGGGGGAUGACGGUACCGGAAGAAUAAGCACCGGCUAACUACGUGCCAGCAGCCGCGGUAAUACGUAGGGUGCAAGCGUUAAUCGGAAUUACUGGGCGUAAAGCGUGCGCAGGCGGUUUGCUAAGACCGAUNUGAAAUCCCCGGGCUCAACCUGGGAACUGCAUUGGUGACUGGCAGGCUAGAGUAUGGCAGAGGGGGGUAGAAUUCCACGUGUAGCAGUGAAAUGCGUAGAGAUGUGGAGGAAUACCGAUGGCGAAGGCAGCCCCCUGGGCCAAUACUGACGCUCAUGCACGAAAAGCGUGGGGGAGCAAAACAGG